UACAUGGGGUGCAAACGUUGCUCGGAAUCAUUGGGCGUAAAGCGCGCGUAGGCGGUUACUUAAGUCGGAUGUGAAAGCCCUCGGCUUAACCGAGGAAGUGCAUCCGAAACUGAGUAGCUAGAGUACUAAAGAGGGUCGCGGAAUUCCCGGUGUAGAGGUGAAAUUCGUAGAUAUCGGGAGGAACACCGGUGGCGAAGGCGGCGACCUGGGCCAAUACUGACGCUGAGGUGCGAAAGCGUGGGGAGCAAACAGG
Molecule: ribosomal RNA, 253 nt
Filed under: uncultured bacterium
Lineage: Bacteria
Description: partial 16S ribosomal RNA
Rfam family: Bacterial small subunit ribosomal RNA
Source: RNAcentral